GGCUCGGUAGCUUAGUUGGUAAAGCGCUCGUCUAGCAUACAAGAGUCCUGUGUUCGAGUCCCAUCCGAGUAC
This is a non-coding RNA of Aedes aegypti (yellow fever mosquito), 72 nucleotides long. Lineage: Eukaryota; Metazoa; Arthropoda; Insecta; Diptera; Culicidae. The record is from Rfam.